GGAUCCUGAGUACGACGGAGCACGUGAAAUUCCGUCGGAAUCUGGGAGGACCAUCUCCUAAGGCUAAAUACUCUCUAGUGACCGAUAGUGAACCAGUACCGUGAGGGAAAGGUGAAAAGCACCCCGGAAGGGGAGUGAAAUAGAACCUGAAACCGUGUGCUUACAAGUAGUCAGAGCCCGUUAAUGGGUGAUGGCGUGCCUUUUGUAGAAUGAACCGGCGAGUUACGAUUUGAUGCAAGGUUAAGCAGUAAAUGUGGAGCCGUAGCGAAAGCGAGUCUGAAUAGGGCGUUUAGUAUUUGGUCGUAGACCCGAAACCAGGUGAUCUACCCUUGGUCAGGUUGAAGUUCAGGUAACACUGAAUGGAGGACCGAACCGACUUACGUUGAAAAGUGAGCGGAUGAACUGAGGGUAGCGGAGAAAUUCCAAUCGAACCUGGAGAUAGCUGGUUCUCUCCGAAAUAGCUUUAGGGCUAGCCUCAAGUGAUGAUUAUUGGAGGUAGAGCACUGUUUGGACGAGGGGCCCCUCUCGGGUUACCGAAUUCAGACAAACUCCGAAUGCCAAUUAAUUUAACUUGGGAGUCAGAACAUGGGUGAUAAGGUCCGUGUUCGAAAGGGAAACAGCCCAGACCACCAGCUAAGGUCCCAAAAUAUAUGUUAAGUGGAAAAGGAUGUGGCGUUGCCCAGACAACUAGGAUGUUGGCUUAGAAGCAGCCAUCAUUUAAAGAGUGCGUAAUAGCUCACUAGUCGAGUGACACUGCGCCGAAAAUGUACCGGGGCUAAACAUAUUACCGAAGCUGUGGAUUGUCCUUUGGACAAUGGUAGGAGAGCGUUCUAAGGGCGUUGAAGCAUGAUCGUAAGGACAUGUGGAGCGCUUAGAAGUGAGAAUGCCGGUGUGAGUAGCGAAAGACGGGUGAGAAUCCCGUCCACCGAUUGACUAAGGUUUCCAGAGGAAGGCUCGUCCGCUCUGGGUUAGUCGGGUCCUAAGCUGAGGCCGACAGGCGUAGGCGAUGGAUAACAGGUUGAUAUUCCUGUACCACCUAUA
Molecule: ribosomal RNA, 1041 nt
Filed under: Staphylococcus aureus
Lineage: Bacteria; Bacillati; Bacillota; Bacilli; Caryophanales; Staphylococcaceae
Description: partial 23S ribosomal RNA
Rfam family: Bacterial large subunit ribosomal RNA
Source: RNAcentral